Molecule: ribosomal RNA, 301 nt
Filed under: uncultured bacterium
Lineage: Bacteria
Description: partial 16S ribosomal RNA
Rfam family: Bacterial small subunit ribosomal RNA
Source: RNAcentral
CAGCAGCCACGGUAAUACGAAGGGUGCAAGCGUUAAUCGGAAUUACUGGGCGUAAAGCGUGCGUAGGCGGUUUGUUAAGUCUGCUGUGAAAUCCCCGGGCUCAACCUGGGAAUGGCAGUGGAUACUGGCAAGCUAGAGUGUGUCAGAGGAUGGUGGAAUUCCCGGUGUAGCGGUGAAAUGCGUAGAGAUCGGGAGGAACAUCAGUGGCGAAGGCGGCCAUCUGGGACAACACUGACGCUGAGGCACGAAAGCGUGGGGAGCAAACAGGAUUAGAUACCCCAGUAGUCCCUGUCUCUUAUAC